CAAUAAUGUACAGCAAAGUAAGAUUUACAAAUAAGUCAAAUGACUGAAAUGGUCAAUUGACACCCUAAGGAGUUAUUGUCCUUUAUAGUCAAUUUUUAACAAUUUUUAUAAAAUUUGUAAAUUUUUACUAACAUUUUCCACUGAAACUACUUGGCAAAGUUCAUUAUAGACAGAGAUAACUGUAAGCAGCAAGAAUGUUCAGUAAAGUAAGACGUACAAACACAUCAC
This 228-nucleotide long non-coding RNA is filed under the name Mytilus galloprovincialis (Mediterranean mussel). Lineage: Eukaryota; Metazoa; Mollusca; Bivalvia; Mytilida; Mytilidae. The record is from RNAcentral.